AGUAUACCGAAACGGUUGUCCAAGGCUCCAACCUACCCGACCGAGCCCAGUCCUGGCUCGAGUAGGUCAGUAACCGAGGCAGGGCCCAAGUUCAGCUUAUAGCUUACAACAUGCACAGGUAACCAAGUAAUUCGACAAAAAUAAAAUUCAUCAUUUGAAUAGGUCGAGUGAGGUAAAGUACACACUCGCCUAACAAUGAUGGACAACUUCAUAUAACAUGUGAUUCAUGAUAAUCAAGUAAGCAAGUAACCACACAGAUUAGAAAACGGUAAGUAAACACGGUUAACAGUAAACGGUAAACGGU
Molecule: long non-coding RNA, 304 nt
Filed under: Coffea arabica (coffee)
Lineage: Eukaryota; Viridiplantae; Streptophyta; Magnoliopsida; Gentianales; Rubiaceae
Description: long non-coding RNA (CARA_LNC001873)
Source: RNAcentral